UCUCUUCCCAAUCAUCAAGCAUGCUAUUUGCCUCAAGCUGGAUAGGCUGUUGAGAUAUAGCACCAGGAAGACCACUACCAGUUGUGGCGUCAUUGGAAAAUACAUCAGCUGGUUGCCCUGCAAUUAGCAGACAUAAUGUCCGCAAAGGUGAUCCUGCUACCAGCUGGCGAAGUGCCAUUUGCUUCACAGUAUCAACAUAGAACUGAUCACCGAGCUGUGAUGCAAGAACAAGCGCAGGUCCCCACAACUGGCCUACUUGUGCACGCUGUAAAGCCUCCUUUUUUCUACCAGAAACCAGAAGAUUUUGUACCUCAGAAGCAGUUGCCUGAAUUUGUCCUUCAGAUGGCACACUCUGCAAGCAGUGGCUGAAAGCACCAUAAUCACUGAAUUGUGCGCCAUUUCUCCUGGCAGAUGCAAAAAGUUUUGCAACUGCGGAUUCUGGAGCAUCACUCUCCUACCAAAAAUAAUUACAUACUUAUUUCUAUAUCUGGCUUUCCAACAAUAUCAUCACAAAGGAAAAAUUAUAAACCCAUAUUGGGAUGACGUGUUACACACACAGACCCCAACAAAAACAAAGGGCUAAGGAAUUCAGAUUGGAGAUGUAUUAAAAAAACAGAGCAAAUUAACCCAAAAUUCUCACGAGCUAUAGUCCUGUCAUUUGCUGGACCGAUCAUCUUUCUAUUUUAGACCUUAAUAGCCCUUCAACUCUUUUCCAUCUAAAUCUUUCACUGAUAAUUCAUGGAAUGAAAUGUGCAUACUUCAUUCAUUCAAACGUCAUUUCACCCUCAGUGAACUUGAAAGAGUCUUCCAGAGCAUGAUAUUCCGAAUUUCUUUUAGAGAAACAUCACAUACAACAUAUAAGGAACAUCAAAAGGGGAGAAUCUAAGAGGAAAAAAGAGAAAAUACAUUAUACUGGGAGUGCUCAGGUUGGGGAGGAUGGGGACAUAUAUAUUAGAGUUUCUGCCAAAAGGCUCCCACAAAAGGGCAGUUAUUGAAGUAGAUGAGAUGCAUUGUAAGAAGUGGUUCUUUCAACAUCUCACAGCUCACAAUGGACCAUGAAAGAAUUUAUGUAAUAUGACAACUUGCAUGUUGAUGAAUGUAAUGAACUCUUAUGAACCAGGAGGAGGUCAUUUACAACACCCAUUCACAAAGGGUGCAUGAAAAAUAAAAAACGUUUUUAACACAGAACAUACAUGCAAAUAUAUGUAAGUCUUCUUCCUUUGUCAUAAUGCCUUGCCUAAGUGAAACUAUGUAGAAAAGAUACAUGAAUAUUCAUAGAGUCAACGAUGAAAUAAGAUUCAUGUUACAAUAAAAAUAAAUGGAAAAGAUAGAUGUGAUUCACCUUCAAAGAAGCAUCAAUACCAAAAGGAGAUCGAAGUUUUCCAUAAUGUUGACAAGCAAUUUUAAGCAAAGAGAGAAGCAACUUCAGUACUCCGCCUUUUCUAUAAUCAAUGUCAGGUGAUUCACAAUUGGCAAUUCUAUCAUCAAUCCACUUAUUCAACUCUUUACUUCCAACAUUGCCUCCCAACAGUGGACCUGGAAAGGAUUGUUGGCAGAGAGCACGAAAAUAAUUACAUGUGCUCCCUGCAAUAUUUAGAGCAUUGUUCGUAUUUCCUGUGAUAACCUCCAUCAAAUUCAGAACAGACAUUGAGCCUCCUAUAAGUUCCUGACUUGCGAAUGAUGCAUUCCCCAGAGAACUUGAACUGCCAUUUUUCAUUACUAUGAGCUUUCCACCAAAUCCAAACGUAACCAAGGCAUGUGGAGGACGCCCAGCAGAUGACAUCCCAGUUUUGGGAGCAUAAGAAAACUGCUGGUUGUUAUGAAAUGAUUUCGGCACAAAAUCUGCUGGUUUCUGGCUGCUAUAGUAAUCAUUUGCAAUGUUAAUUUGUUCAUUCUGCUUCACAGUUCCCCGAUUAAACUGCUGACCAAAGUUCCCACUAGGUAUAAAAUUUUGUGAUCCUACAAACCCAUUAGGAUCCACAGGACCCUGACUCAGUUCGUCGUAUGAAAGAACUGAUCCCAGAGAAUUAGGAGAUUUGUGCUGCUCCAAAUGAUUGUUCAUGGACACAUUUGAAUCAUAGGAAUUAUGCAAUUGCUGGUUUGUAUCAAAAUUUGAAACAGUAUUAGUCUUAGCAACAGUAUCAGGUUGCCACAUAUUCAAACCUUGCUGAUUGUAGUCACCAUAAGACUCACCCCAGCGACCAUGCUUGUCUUGGUCAUUAUAGCCUUGUGACUCAUACUUGUCAGCUUGCUCAUAUCCACUAUAAAUACUGUUGCUAUUCUGAGAAUAUGAAUCAGCAAAGGCAAAUUCAUUUUGUUUCUGCUGAUCAUGGUUUUGAACAGUUGCUGAUUGAACAGAUGACGUGUAGCUUUCCAGGGAGCGCCACUCCUGCACCAUUGUGUCAUAAUACCAACCAGGAUAUUGAGGAUCAAAAACCAUAUGCUCUGGGUAACCAUUAUUAGUCCCCUGAGAUACCUGAUUCCAAGUAGACACACUCUCAGAUGAGCUAUUCUCAGCCACAGUUCCAACCACAGAUUGUGAAGUCUGCUGCAAAUAAUUCAUUUCUAUUUGCCCAUCCGAAACUGCCGCCAAUUCAUUUGCUGCAUUAACAUUAGAACUCCCUUGGACACUUGCCGUUACAUCAAAAUUAUCCACUUGAUACCACUGCCCUGUGUUGACAUCAUAUUUCCACCCAGGAUACAUGUUCUCCCAACACUGCUUGUUAUUCAAAUCCUGCCAAUUUACACUCUCUUCAAUGGAUCCUCCAUAACUUUGUGUGCUAUCUUGAUAUUCCCCAUAACUGACUGAAUUAUGCAAUCCGUCACCAUCCUUUUUCUCUAAAUUAGAGGCUUCAUCAACUUUCCCAGGAAAAUCCCCUGACAUAUCUCCCAAAUCAUUAAAAAAAUCUGUAUAUGUACCAAAUUCAUGAUUUCCAUUAGGUACAGAAUCAGCAUAAAAUGAACUCCACCCCACCUCCUUAGCCCCUGAUUUUGUGGAUGCGCUAGUUUUACUUAUUACUGGGUCCAAUACUAUAGUUGAGUCAAAAAAUGAUGGGAUUGAAUCAGAGGCUGUAUU
This 3076-nucleotide unclassified non-coding RNA is filed under the name Hevea brasiliensis (rubber tree). Lineage: Eukaryota; Viridiplantae; Streptophyta; Magnoliopsida; Malpighiales; Euphorbiaceae. The record is from RNAcentral.